This 467-nucleotide ribosomal RNA is filed under the name uncultured bacterium. Its description in RNAcentral is "partial 16S ribosomal RNA". It matches the Rfam family "Bacterial small subunit ribosomal RNA", at positions 28 to 506 of the family's 1533-position model. The record is from RNAcentral.
GACGAACGCUGGCGGCGUGCUUAACACAUGCAAGUCGAACGGAAAGGCCCUGCUUUUGUGGGGUGCUCGAGUGGCGAACGGGUGAGUAACACGUGAGUAACCUGCCCUUGACUUUGGGAUAACUUCAGGAAACUGGGGCUAAUACCGGAUAGGAGCUCCUGCUGCAUGGUGGGGGUUGGAAAGUUUCGGCGGUUGGGGAUGGACUCGCGGCUUAUCAGCUUGUUGGUGGGGUAGUGGCUUACCAAGGCUUUGACGGGUAGCCGGCCUGAGAGGGUGACCGGCCACAUUGGGACUGAGAUACGGCCCAGACUCCUACGGGAGGCAGCAGUGGGGAAUAUUGCACAAUGGGCGGAAGCCUGAUGCAGCAACGCCGCGUGCGGGAUGACGGCCUUCGGGUUGUAAACCGCUUUCGCCUGUGACGAAGCGUGAGUGACGGUAAUGGGUAAAGAAGAACCGGCUAACUACGU